UAUCAUAGAGGGAAUCAUACGCCCCGUAAUACGGUGGAUCGAAAGCAAGGAUUUCUUCAACAUGAUGCAACACGUUGUCGCACGAGAGUGCAGUUUUACUGAAGCAAAACUCUGGGUGAUCGUGAUAACAGCCAUUCAAACCAUAUCCAUUUGGAUACAAUUCACCGAUGGGGUAUCGAACACCAUCUACCAAGCACUCAUCCUCAGGCAAAUUUUCCCAAUCGUCACAAAUCCAUCUCGUUGGACAACAGUAUGGAGGUUUUUCGAAAUGGAAUGUACACCUUAAUUCGUAAUAAUAGUACGUUGGUCCAGGACACGAUUUCGGGGGGUCACAUUCUUAAAACAAUGAGGAAAAAAGAAUGAGGAGGAGAUGAAACAAGAAUGGAAUAUUUUUUCUCGCUUUUACACUUUUAUUCGGAUUUUUAUAACCGCAGGAUUGCAUAAUUUUUACAAUUGCCAAUACGAGAUCCGUCAUCGAUCAUUCAAUCAUUCGAUUGGAUCUUACCGGAUUAUUUCUAGUCAUAAAUGUGGUGAUGAGUGGUGGUGAGCAUAAAAUAUGUCAUUUAUAAUGCAUAGUUAUGAUUUGAUGGUUUUUAAAGGGUAUUAAAAAAUUUUUUACCUUUGUAUCCUUCACCACAAUAACAUGACUUGUGUGGUUCUGCGGCAGGCUUGAAAUAUUCGCCAUCUCGAUAAGUUUUUCCAUCGACGAUGCAGAUGGCUCGCUUCGCAUCAUUUUUAGCUAUCAAGUGAAAUUUCAUUAGCUAUCAAUUGUAAAGUUACUGCUUUACAAAUCAAAACGCGCUCUCUGGUUUUUU
Molecule: long non-coding RNA, 815 nt
Organism: Venturia canescens
Lineage: Eukaryota; Metazoa; Arthropoda; Insecta; Hymenoptera; Ichneumonidae
Exons: 3
Source: RefSeq, a predicted model, not a curated record